RNAcentral lists this ribosomal RNA (439 nucleotides) under uncultured bacterium. RNAcentral's name for it is "partial 16S ribosomal RNA". It matches the Rfam family "Bacterial small subunit ribosomal RNA", at positions 339 to 795 of the family's 1533-position model. The record is from RNAcentral.
CUACGGGUGGCACCAGUGGGGAAUAUUGCACAAUGGAGGAAACUCUGAUGCAGCAACGCCGCGUGGAGGAUGACACUUUUCGGAGCGUAAACUCCUUUUAUAUAGGAAGAUAAUGACGGUACUAUAUGAAUAAGCACCGGCUAACUCCGUGCCGGCAGCCGCGGUAAUACGGAGGGUGCAAGCGUUACUCGGAAUCACUGGGCGUAAAGAGCGUGUAGGCGGGUUAAUAAGUCAGAAGUGAAAUCCUAUGGCUCAACCAUAGAACUGCUUUUGAAACUGUUAACCUAGAGUGUGGGAGAGGUAGAUGGAAUUUCUGGUGUAGGGGUAAAAUCCGUAGAGAUCAGAAGGAAUACCGAUUGCGAAGGCGAUCUACUGGAACAUAACUGACGCUGAGACGCGAAAGCGUGGGGAGCAAACAGGAUUAGAUACCCCGGUAGUC